Molecule: non-coding RNA, 73 nt
Organism: Cricetulus griseus (Chinese hamster)
Lineage: Eukaryota; Metazoa; Chordata; Mammalia; Rodentia; Cricetidae
Source: Rfam
GGAGAGAUGGCUCAUUGGUUAUGAGCACUGGCUGUUCUUCCAGAGGACCUGGGUUCAAUUCCCAGCACCUACA